GAAUAUUGGACAAUGGGCGCAAGCCUGAUCCAGCCAUACCGCGAGGGUGAAGAAGGCCUUCGGGUUGUAAAGCUCUUUUGUUGGGAAAGAAAAGCAGUCGGUUAAUACCCGGUUGUUCUGACGGUACCCGAAGAGUAAGCUCCGGCUAACGUCUUGCCAUCAGCCGCGGUAAUACGAAGGGUGCAAGCGUUACUCGGAAUUACUGGGCGUAAAGCGUGCGUAGGUGGUUGUUUAAGUCUGUUAUGAAAGCCCUGGGCUCAACCUGGGAAUUGCAGUGGAUACUGGGCGACUAGAGUGUGGUAGAGGGUAGUGGAAUUCCCGGUGUAGCAGUGAAAUGCGUAGAGAUCGGGAGGAACAUCCAUGGCGAAGGCAGCUACCUGGACCAACACUGACACUGAGGCACGAAAGCGUGGGGAGCAAACAGG
Molecule: ribosomal RNA, 425 nt
Filed under: uncultured bacterium
Lineage: Bacteria
Description: partial 16S ribosomal RNA
Rfam family: Bacterial small subunit ribosomal RNA
Source: RNAcentral